CACCGCUAUUACUUCCGAUGUCCGCAUGCAAUCAAUUGAUCAUUAUUACUAUGAUUCUCACGGGGCUUAAGAAAGGGGAUGCUGCUAGCUAGAAUCAACAUAUAUGUUAAGAUGUACGGCCAUUAUUUGAUUCAGUGCCUGCCUCACAAGAUAGAUUCAAUUGCUUUGGGAUCACCGUACAGAUUUGUCUUGGGCCACUGCUUGGCACCACAGAACAUCUAGGCAAUUGGAGAUGGUUAGCCAGCUAAUUGUAGUACAAAGAAGGUACUUCACCCACCUUAAUAUGUGAGGGAUAUGCACG
RNAcentral lists this long non-coding RNA (301 nucleotides) under Elaeis guineensis (African oil palm). RNAcentral describes it as "long non-coding RNA (EGUI_LNC000656)". The record is from RNAcentral. Lineage: Eukaryota; Viridiplantae; Streptophyta; Magnoliopsida; Arecales; Arecaceae.